This 506-nucleotide ribosomal RNA is filed under the name uncultured bacterium. RNAcentral describes it as "partial 16S ribosomal RNA". It matches the Rfam family "Bacterial small subunit ribosomal RNA", at positions 29 to 523 of the family's 1533-position model. The record is from RNAcentral.
AGUGAACGCUGGCGGUAGGCCUAACACAUGCAAGUCGAACGGCAGCACAGGAGAGCUUGCUCUCUGGGUGGCGAGUGGCGGACGGGUGAGGAAUACAUCGGAAUCUACUCUGUCGUGGGGGAUAACGUAGGGAAACUUACGCUAAUACCGCAGACGACCUACGGGUGAAAGCAGGGGAUCUUCGGACCUUGCGCGAUUGAAUGAGCCGAUGUCGGAUUAGCUAGUUGGCGGGGUAAAGGCCCACCAAGGAGACGAUCCGUAGCUGGUCUGAGAGGAUGAUCAGCCACACUGGAACUGAGACACGGUCCAGACUCCUACGGGAGGCAGCAGUGGGGAAUAUUGGACAAUGGGCGCAAGCCUGAUCCAGCCAUACCGCGUGGGUGAAGAAGGCCUUCGGGUUGUAAAGCCCUUUUGUUGGGAAAGAAAUCCAGCUGGCUAAUACCCGGUUGGGAUGAUGGUACCCAAAGAAUAAGCACCGGCUAACUUCGUGCCAGCAGCCGCAGUAA